AUACGGAGGGUGCAAGCGUUAUUCGGAAUCACUGGGCGUAAAGGACGCGUAGGCGGGUAGGCAAGUCAGAUGUGAAAUCCUACAGCUUAACUGUAGAACUGCAUUUGAAACUGCUAACCUAGAGUAUGGGAGGGGGAGAUGGAAUUAGUGGUGUAGGGGUAAAAUCCGUAGAUAUCACUAGGAAUACCGAAAGCGAAGGCGAUCUCCUGGAACAUAACUGACGCUAAGGCGUGAAAGCGUGGGGAGCAAACAGGAUUAGAUACCCUAGUAGUCC
This 274-nucleotide ribosomal RNA is filed under the name uncultured bacterium. RNAcentral's name for it is "partial 16S ribosomal RNA". It matches the Rfam family "Bacterial small subunit ribosomal RNA", at positions 523 to 796 of the family's 1533-position model. The record is from RNAcentral.